GAUGAACGCUGGCGGCGUGCCUAAUACAUGCAAGUCGAGCGAACAGACGAGGAGCUUGCUCCUCUGAUGUUAGCGGCGGACGGGUGAGUAACACGUGGAUAACCUACCUAUAAGACUGGGAUAACUUCGGGAAACCGGAGCUAAUACCGGAUAACAUGUUGAACCGCAUGGUUCAACAGUGAAAGACGGUCUUGCUGUCACUUAUAGAUGGAUCCGCGCCGCAUUAGCUAGUUGGUAAGGUAACGGCUUACCAAGGCAACGAUGCGUAGCCGACCUGAGAGGGUGAUCGGACACACUGGAACUGAGACACGGUCCAGACUCCUACGGGAGGCAGCAGUAGGGAAUCUUCCGCAAUGGGCGAAAGCCUGACGGAGCAACGCCGCGUGAGUGAAGAAGGUCUUCGGAUCGUAAAACUCUGUUAUUAGGGAAGAACAAAUGUGUAAGUAACUAUGCACGUCUUGACGGUACCUAAUCAGAAAGCCACGGCUAACUACGUG
RNAcentral lists this ribosomal RNA (497 nucleotides) under uncultured bacterium. RNAcentral describes it as "partial 16S ribosomal RNA". It matches the Rfam family "Bacterial small subunit ribosomal RNA", at positions 28 to 507 of the family's 1533-position model. The record is from RNAcentral.